UGGGGAAUAUUGGGCAAUGGGGGAAACCCUGACCCAGCAACGCCGCGUGAAGGAAGAAGGCUUUCGGGUUGUAAACUUCUUUUACCAGGGACGAAGACGUGACGGUACCUGGAGAAAAAGCCACGGCUAACUACGUGCCAGCAGCCGCGGUAAUACGUAGGUGGCAAGCGUUGUCCGGAUUUACUGGGUGUAAAGGGCGUGCAGGCGGGGGAGCAAGUCAGCUGUGAAAUCUAUGGGCUUAACCCAUAAACUGCAGUUGAAACUGUUCUUCUUGAGUGAAGUAGAGGUUGGCGGAAUUCCGAGUGUAGCGGUGAAAUGCGUAGAUAUUCGGAGGAACACCGGUGGCGAAGGCGGCCAACUGGGCUUUUACUGACGCUGAGGCUCGAAAGUGUGGGGAGCAAACAGGAUUAGAUACCCUGGUAGU
Molecule: ribosomal RNA, 424 nt
Filed under: uncultured Eubacterium sp.
Lineage: Bacteria; Bacillati; Bacillota; Clostridia; Eubacteriales; Eubacteriaceae
Description: bacterial SSU rRNA
Rfam family: Bacterial small subunit ribosomal RNA
Source: RNAcentral